AACGAACGCUGGCGGCAGGCCUAACACAUGCAAGUCGAGCGGACCUUUCGGGGUCAGCGGCGGACGGGUGAGUAACGCGUGGGAAUAUGCCCUUCUCUACGGAAUAGUCCUGGGAAACUGGGGGUAAUACCGUAUACGCCCUUUGGGGGAAAGAUUUAUCGGGGAAGGAUUAGCCCGCGUUGGAUUAGGUAGUUGGUGGGGUAAUGGCCUACCAAGCCGAAGAUCCAUAGCUGGUUUGAGAGGAUGAUCAGCCACACUGGGACUGAGACACGGCCCAGACCCCUACGGGGGGAGCGGGGGGGAAUUUAUGAAAAAGGGGGGCACCCUGGAUCGACCCGUGCGGGGGGAGUGAGGAAGCCUUGGGGGUGGAAAACCCCUUUCAGCUGGAAAGAAAAGGAGGGUACCAGAAAAAGAGGCCCCGCCAACCCCGUUC
This 433-nucleotide ribosomal RNA is filed under the name uncultured bacterium. Its description in RNAcentral is "partial 16S ribosomal RNA". It matches the Rfam family "Bacterial small subunit ribosomal RNA", at positions 29 to 508 of the family's 1533-position model. The record is from RNAcentral.